Molecule: long non-coding RNA, 2464 nt
Organism: Trachemys scripta elegans
Lineage: Eukaryota; Metazoa; Chordata; Testudines; Emydidae
Exons: 3
Source: RefSeq, a predicted model, not a curated record
CUCCGCGCGGAGCCAGGCCCUGGCCCUAGGGACGCCCGCGCCCCGGCGGCCCCUGCCGGUGCUGCGGGGCCACCAGCCCCGCGCUUCCCGCCUCCUUCUCCUGCUGCCUUUGUUCCCCCCAGCCCUGGAGUUGGGACCGUGCAGGUUCCCACGUGCGGCCGGGAACAUCCCCACCACGAUCCACCUCCCCCUUCCACACCACGGAGACGCCGGCCUGGGGCUGGGGGUGUGGAAGGGCAUCUCCCCUCCCGCAGCCCCUGAAGGAGACACUUGUUCAGGGGGGAUCAGCUGCUGGCAUAACUCGAAGGGGCGGAGACGGUUCACUAGGCCUGACACCGCAGUUGUGCAGAUUGUAGUGCACUGAAUCUCCUGCUAAACUCUUUCUCCGUCGUAGCUGAGAUCAGUAUAAUCUAACCCCGCUCGAUUCAUAGAGCAAGCCGUGUAUGGAAUGAAAGAGAACAGAAUAUUGGAGAAAUGGAACAUAUCUGGUUUGGUUUAAUAACGACGGGGGGAGGGGGAAGCAGGAGAAAAAAGCCUGAAGCUUCAUUCAUAACAUAAAGACAAAAAUCAUUCCCAGUUGUUUUGCCUGAUCUUGAGCCGUGCUGCUGCUGGAUAUAAAUGAGGAAACUUUCAUUUGUGUAGGUUUUUAAAGGUCUGGAAAAUCAGAUAGAAAACUGGAUUAGAACGUGUGCUGGUAGUCAGAACAUGCAGUGCCUAAAUUAAACAUCAGCAAUGUCCUGUCAAGAAUGGGAGCAUUCAAGGGCAGAAGAUAAGAAAAUUUUCAAUCGUUUUUGUAAUGCAGUUCAUAUGUAGCGAUAACAGAUGUGAAGGGCAGUAGCCCAGUGGUAUCAGAAUGUAAUGAUUAAAUUGCAAUAUAUUUCUUAUUGAAUAGGAAAAGCCUCAGAGACAAUAAAUGUUGCAAAUGCAGCAACAACAGUUUCAUGUGAAGAAUGUGAAUAUUCAUGGUCUGAAGAUUGGAAAAAUACUGCAGUAUAAUGUUACACCGUUUAUAUUUUCAUCUUGAAUGUCCAAUAGAUUCAGAGCUCAGAUGCAUCAUGGUACAAGAAUGAAAUUGCUACUGUGCUAUAUAGGGUGGUUUUUCUUUGUGUUUAUUGUAUCUAUAAAGCAUGACUGACAAUAACUGUACAAGCUCUACCAACAGCAGAAAUGCACGAUGGAGAUAUUCUGCACUUCAACUGGCAAUGUUGGACCACUGCAAACUAGUUACCUCUGCAUCCCAAUAGCAAAUAAGGGCUUGAUCCUGUCCUCAAAUGCAUGCAGAUAUGUACAGGAUCACAGUGUAGUCUGUAAGAUAGGUACACGUGAGUGCUGAAAAUUCUCUGGAACAAUUUUAAUAUACAUUGGACUUUGCAGAAUAAAGAACUUGUUGGAGAGAAGAGAUGCCAAAUUCAGCCCAUCAGCAUUAGGGGUUGUGACUCUAAUGCCACAGCUGAAUUUGGUCAGAAGUUUUUAGCAGUGAAAGUACUGUUGUAAUUAUUGUAUUCAAAAAUACUUUCCAAUUCAGCAAUUUUUUAAAGAAUACUUAAUAGUUAGAGCAGGCAACUGGGCACCAAACAUUCCUGGGCUCUAUGCCCAGCUCUUGCAGGGACUUGUUGAGCAAUUACUUAACUUGUUUGUGGCUCAGUUUUAUUUUUAGAAAACAGGAUAAGAAUAUUAAGUACUUCAUAGAGGUAGUGGAAGGUUUAUUUCACUGCAGCAUUGCCUAGUGGAGAGGACACUGGACCAAGACAUCUUGGUUCUAAUCUCACUUCUGCUGCUGAUUUAUUGUGUUACCUUGGGCAAGUCACAUCAUCUCUCUGUUUCCUCUCUCAUCCUUUCAUAGAUUCCAAGAGUAGAAGAGGCCAUUGGGAUCAUCUAGUCUGAUCUCCUGUGAAACACAGGCCACAGAACUCUACAUAAUUCUUUUUGAACUAGAGCAUUUUUACCAAAAUAUAUCCAAUCUUGGUUUAAAAAUUGCCAGUGAUGGAGAAUCCACCACAACCCUUUGUCUGCCUAGUCUAUGUUGAUUGUGAACUCUCCAGGACUGGACUAUCUCUCAUGAUAUAUUUGUGCAGAGCCCCAGUCUCAAUCCGUACCUCUAGGUGCUACUAUGACAUAAAUAAUAAUAGUAAGAUACUUUGGGAUCCUUGGAUGGAAGAUGCUACCAAUGGGCCUGAUUCAGCCACCAUUACUCCAUGAAUAGUCCCACUGGUAUAAGUCCAAAGCCAUAUAAAAACAGAAAGUAUUCUUGCCCGAACAUGGCUUUGUGCAGAAAUUCAUUUCUAAAUGUAGCUUAAGCUACUAGAAACAGAACACCCCACAGUCUGUAUAUUUUUCUCUCAGUAAUAGAGUUAACGGGCUUGUGGAAUGGACAAUAAAAUGUUUGUCUUUAUAUUCUCUAACCUUGUUGCUAAGAGCUAUAUACUAGUAACAAACUGUUCACAGAAACUUUAACAUUUUUUUC